This 180-nucleotide ribosomal RNA is filed under the name uncultured bacterium. RNAcentral's name for it is "partial 16S ribosomal RNA". It matches the Rfam family "Bacterial small subunit ribosomal RNA", at positions 1320 to 1500 of the family's 1533-position model. The record is from RNAcentral.
AUGAAGCUGGAAUCGCUAGUAAUCGCGGAUCAGCAUGCCGCGGUGAAUACGUUCCCGGGCCUUGUACACACCGCCCGUCACACCAUGGGAGCCGGUAAUACCCGAAGUCAGUAGUCCAACCUCGUGAGGACGCUGCCGAAGGUAGGAUUGGCGACUGGGGUGAAGUCGUAACAAGGUAAC